RNAcentral lists this ribosomal RNA (292 nucleotides) under uncultured bacterium. Its description in RNAcentral is "partial 16S ribosomal RNA". It matches the Rfam family "Bacterial small subunit ribosomal RNA", at positions 505 to 796 of the family's 1533-position model. The record is from RNAcentral.
GUGCCAGCAGCCGCGGUAAUACAGAGGUGGCAAGCGUUGUUCGGAAUUACUGGGCGUAAAGGGCGCGUAGGCGGCCUACUAAGUCAGACGUGAAAUCCCCCGGCUUAACCUGGGAACUGCGUCUGAUACUGGAAGGCUUGAGGAUGGGAGAGGGAUGUAGAAUUCCAGGUGUAGCGGUGAAAUGCGUAGAUAUCUGGAGGAAUACCGGUGGCGAAGGCGGCAUCCUGGACCAUUACUGACGCUGAGGCGCGAAAGCUAGGGGAGCAAACGGGAUUAGAAACCCCCGUAGUCC